CUUGGAUCGGAGAAAACUAGUCUUGCAUUAAAGUGCCGCGCCAUUGAGGAUAAGAUGAAUUUACUUAACAAACAACUGGAAGCUAGUGAGAAGUAUAAAUCCGAAUAUUUGAAGCGUUAUGAAGAUGCCAUCAAUGACAAGAAGCAGCUUGCAGAUGAUUACACGAGUCGUAUCACAAAUUUGCAGAGUAAAUAUAGUUCAUUGGAAGAAAGAUAUUCAAGCUUAUCAAAAACAUUCACUUCAGCUAAACAUGAGUCCUCAGAAUGGAAAAGAAAAUAUGAACAGCUUCUGUUGAAGCAGAAGGCUAAUGAAGACCAAUCAAGUGCAGAAGUAUCUGUUCUGAAGUCCAGAACUGCUGCCGCUGAAGCAAGGCUGGCUGCUGCCAAAGAGCAAGCUGAAUCGGCUCAAGAGGAGGCGGAGGAGUGGAAACGUAAAUAUGACAUUGCCGUCAAGGAAGUUAAGAAUGCUCUUGAGAAGGCAGCGUCUGUUCAAGAGCGAGCAAACAAGGAAACCCAGUUGAGAGAAGAUGCUUUAAGGGAUGAGUUUUCAAGCACCCUGGCGGAUAAGGAAGAAGAAAUUAAAGACAAGGCAUAUAAGCUUGAGCAUGCUGAGCAGCGUUUAGCAACACUGACUUUGGAGUUGAGGACUGCUGAUUCAAAGGUGAGGAACUAUGGUCUAGAAGUGUCAGCCUUGAAGGUUGAAAUCAAGGAAUUGGGUGAAAGGAUAGAGAAUAUAAAGGAUACUGCACAAUCAUUUGAAAGAGAAGCUAAGAUUCUGGAACAGGAGAAGGUUCAUCUGGAGCAGAAGUACCGGUCAGAGUUCGAUCGAUUUGAGGAUGUUCAGGAUAGAUGUAAAUCAGCUGAAAGAGAGGCGAAAAGAGCGACUGAGCUGGCUGAUAAAGCAAGGGUUGAAGCAGCUGCUGCCCAGAAAGAAAAGAGUGAAAUCCAUCGAGUAGCUAUGGAAAGGUUGGCUCAGAUCGAGAGGAAUGGGAGAAAUAUACAAAACUUGGAGAGGCAAAGAGAUGACUUGGCCGAUGAAUUAGAGAGGUGCCGUGCAUCUGAGUUUGAUGCGCAGUCAAAAGUUACAACUUUGGAG
This 1095-nucleotide unclassified non-coding RNA is filed under the name Hevea brasiliensis (rubber tree). Lineage: Eukaryota; Viridiplantae; Streptophyta; Magnoliopsida; Malpighiales; Euphorbiaceae. The record is from RNAcentral.